Pteropus alecto (black flying fox) is the source of this 3056-nucleotide long non-coding RNA. RefSeq lists it as uncharacterized. The record is from RefSeq and is a predicted model, not a curated record. The transcript is spliced from 3 exons. Lineage: Eukaryota; Metazoa; Chordata; Mammalia; Chiroptera; Pteropodidae.
UUGGACAGGCUACCCUGAAAGUUAACAGAACCCAGAUGAUUCCAGCUCUGAGCAUCGCAAAAGCAGAGAGCCACUUUGCAAGUGAAUGGUCAAAUUUGAGUCUUAAGCUGAUGGAACGGGCAGUAUCAGCUUUUGCAUUUUAACUGUAAUGUUUCCCAGGAGCAUUAAGGACAAGCAGACCUAGCUUCCCACUCUCUUUAUCUCAGCUUGCCAGACUCUAUGGGCAGAAAGGCACACUACAAGCCCAAACCUGAAAGCCUUUUGCCCACACUGGGCAGUGUCAGGAGCUCCCGCACUAGUAGGGCUGGGACUUCCAUGGUGAGAAAGCCCAAUCCGGCCUUUAAUCCUCUGCAAGUCACUCAAUCAAUGGAGGCCAAGGCAGGGAAGGAGUUUUCAGAAAGAAGUUAUAGAGCCCAAAAGAUUGGACAAGUUUAACAGAAGGGACCAGAGGAGGGGAGAACAGAGUAACUCAAGAUUUAGAAUAAAGGUGAAAGGGGAGUCUUCCAAUUAAGAGUCCCAAUGCACCAUGCACAGGCCUCUUCACAACGGGAAGGAAGGGACCACAUCCUUCCCACCUCUCAGCCGCACUAUCUCCCCACCCAGUCCAAUUCCCUGCCUCAAUGAUGGGCUUAUAUUGGGCAGGGUUAGGAUUCUCUUCUUCCCAUAGGCUGUCACACUAUAAUAUUUGAUUUGCUUCCUUCCCUUGCAAAGCCUAACAGAUUAGAUUGCCAGAGUCCUAUUCAGCUCACUAAGGCAGAUGGAAAACUGAAAGUAAGGCAACCUAAACUCCUCAUGGUGGGAAGAGAGAAGAGGCACAGAAGCACAAUGUUCCAGCUCCCAGGUCAUCUUUUCCAAGCUCUAGGACUAUAUUGGACAAAGUAAACAACACCCUAGUGGUUUCAAGGAAUGAGAAUACUUACUGUACUGUGGCCCACAGCAAGAUAUAAUAUGAGGUAUUCCAACCUUUUACCAGGGUAUAACCACCUGCUCCAUGAAGAAGCCAGGAAAUCAAUGAAGUCCCAGCUGGAUGUGCACAAUGAAGACCUUGCUCCUGUUGCUCAGGUCUUCCUAGUGUUCCAGAACUUUCAGCAAGCACCCAGCAAGCCUGUAAGAGGGCUGCUCUGCAGGAGGAAGGCUGAUGCAUUUCCAUUCCCACUUUUGCAGAAUCUAUCCAUUGGCAGGCACCAACCAAAACCUGCAUGUCUUCAGGAUUUAUUUUAACUUCGGUAAAAUAUCAAGGUAAUAUAACACAGUUCAGCUCCCUAUGAUGACAUGAUGCAAUUCGCAGACCCUACUUCCUUAUACAGGAGAAGAAAGCACCGACAGGGGAAAAGAACGUUUUACAAACUCUCCAUCAAAGAACAGGUGGUUUCCAAGUCAAUACCUAGGUGAUUACCCAUCUGUGAAGUGAGCAAGGCUCCCAUCAUCAGCUAGCUAGAACUCCACAAGGAGUGCCACACUUUGUAAAAAGUGGGGCUUACAAAUAAGGCAUGUGACUUAGGUCUAAAGGAACAUGCAGAAUAAAUCAUCAUGAACCAGCUUGGUAGACUGAAUUUCUACAGACUGGAAGCACUGCCACAAUGCUCUUUGCCCUUCCAUUUGCACAGGUGCAAACAAUUCAUAUGCUUGCAGUCAUUCAUUCACUCAACAAACAUUUACUCAUCACCUAGUAGAUAUCAUACAUUGGGCUAGCCACAGAGUCUAGACUACAAGCUAUACUUUCACUAUGACAAAAGUCAUCUGCCUUCAAGUGGCACACAUGGAGAAAGCUAAUAUCUGAAAUGAUAAUAAUGCUUUUUAAAAGCCUCUUCUGGUUACUCAAAGCAUACCGAUCUUUAUUUGAGUAAUCGACUUUGUGUUCUAGGAAUCUAAAGACUGGAAGCUCCCUAAAGACAGAGGCUGCUUUUUGUUCACUGCCCUUCAUGUCCUUAUAACCAAUAUAUGCCAACUGAAUGCAAAUAAAAUAGAAAACAAACGUUUCUAUUCUUUCAAGAUCUUCGGCUUUACUGUUUCUGAAGGCUCUGCCACCAAAGAAAAAUGAUGAAGUUCCAGAAAGAAGGAAACAGGGGAUUAAUUUAGAUAUAUUAAGAACAACAUGAGCACAAUUUUGGAACUUCAGCCCAAGUGCAACCACCACUCAGCAGGCUGAGAUGCCUCCAACAGCCACAGCUGGCGGUCCUCUUAGAAUGCUUUCCCCUUCCCUCUUCUAACUCUCCUAUGAAAAAAACCCAUUUGCAGUCCUAAAGAAAGGAGGGGUGGGAGGAAUUAGAAGGGGAAGACACAGCUUGAACCCACACGCAUCAAGAAGGAAGGAAAUCCUAAGCAGAAAGGCUUGGGGGCUGGGCUAGCCUAAGGAAGGAGAUGUGUAAGGCUGAAGUGGAGGACAUGCCUGGACAAUUUUCCUUCCUUACAAGGCCUCUUUUUUCCCCUUUCCUCUUUUUUUUUUUUUUUUUUAAUUUGAUGAAAUAACAGUCUUCAGAACUGGAGAGAACUGGAGUAGAAAAGGGAAGCGAGUAAGGUGAGGAAGAAGUUGGUGAGAGAGACCUACAGCUCCCCUCGAGGUGCAUUCCCAAUCUGGCACCGAACCUGCAUUUUAGAAGUUUUCCUUCAAGUCACCCCCACGUAGCCUAGAGUUCCAGAAGCCUGAGGGCCCAGGUUGACCCAAAGGAGAGAUCUCCCUACGGAAGCAUACUAGGCCUGUCCUGCAAUAAGGCAUCAAGAGCCAAUGAAGGUUUUGAGCAAGGAAGUGACACGUUUAGAAGUGAUUAAGCAGUUUCGUAGUGACUGCAUAGAAACUGGACUCUAGCGCCAAGUUGCCAGGAUUUGACUCCUAACUCUAUCACUAAUUAUUUGUAUAGCUGUGGACACGUUACUUUACUUCUUUCUCUGUUUCUAUAAAACAGUUACGGAGGAAAGGCUAUGUGAACUAUACAGCAAGGAGGCAGACAUCUGCAAGACAAGAAGAGCACUCUCACUGCAAUCCAACCAUGCUGGCAACCUGAUCUUAGACUUCCAGCCUCCAGAACUGUGACAAAAUAAAUUUGUCGUUUAAGCCA